UAGUCUCAGAUACUUCAAAAUUAUUUUUUUCUUUUUCAUUCAUAUGUGUUGGAGUAUUAAGAGGUGUAUGCAGACAGUAUUUCAACUCUAAACCAAUCCAAAUUAUAUCUAUCGAUAGAUUUUUUUUAAUUACUUGGUCGAAUAUAUCAAUAGAUGCUGGAGAACACCUUAGUAGGAGGUAAACACGGACUGACUACUCGAAGUGGACGGGCACACUGAAAGACUACUACUAAUAUGAUAUUAAUUUAAGACUACUAUAUAAUACAACCCUGCCAGACUGAAUGUAGGCAAUACUAACUGAACGAAUGAACGAGACGCCUAAUAGACAGAAGACCAACCGGACAGUUGCUAUUUGAAUUUCAAUAAAUGCACAUCUAAUAAUGUACAUUGAAUAAAAAAUAACAGUGUUUUAUUAUUCCUACACCUAUGUAUUGGCUAACGGCAAAUUCGAACGUCAUGGCCACGAAGGGCAGAUGUGCGCUGGAAUGCUGUUAUUAUAUCAGCCCUAUUCUGAAGAAUCUCCCUAGGAGAGUUUUCACUUUUCCCUCUAAUCAUAUCUGAAAUAAAUAAAAAUUUGUGGAUUUUUAUUUUUUUCUCUUUUCUCACAUUCUAAACAAAAAAAGGAGAAAUUCCCAGCGACGAAUAAAGUUGACAUCACCAAUGCAAAAUAUUCGUGAGAUUUCAAUAUUCCGCUAGAGUUUUUUCACAUUGAAGUUGUGUGGGAGUUUUUAUAAAAAAAAAAAUAUAUUUGCAGUUGAUAAUAGAGUUGAUGGAAACUCAACCGAGGAUUUUUCAAGCGUAAUAAGGAGAAGUUGAACCAAUUAUGGUAGAAGUUGAAUAACGAACUGAACAUAGGUCAGCUCGUUUCAAUAUUGGAACAUUUCGAAACACCAUAGCACGCCAAUUACAUCCAAAUUUAUGGCUGCCAAGGAUCCCAAACACUCGUCCAAAUCAAGUAAUAACUUGCGUGUUUAAAAGGUCGAUGUUUUCGGUUGAUUAGCUCAGAGUUGUGACUUAAAUCCUUUCGAUCCAUAGAAUGAAGUCAACGCUGAAAUCUCAAAGAAAAAAUUGUAAAGAAUUUGGACUAUAAAUAAUCUACCGUUCAGAAAACUUGGUAUACCUAAAGUCAAGUGUGAAAAACUCUUGUAAAGCAAGAGUCACAUUUGUGAAGCCGACAUUAAAAAUAAAGCCUACAACACAAAACGCCAAAGACUAAAAAGUUGUGCCACUUUCAACUUAUUUCACCGUCUUCUCCACAAUUCGAUUAUAUUUUUUGCGUUAUUAUUGAAUUGAAACGUGAGCUCAUUUGACGGUUUAAUGUGAGGCAUAAACCUUAGCAAGACACCAAAAACUUAUAAAUGCAUCUAUCUAUUGCCUUACCACCUAUAACCUAUAUAAAAAAUUCCAAGAUGACUUCCAUUACCGGCUCAAUAGAAAAAACAACGGUUUGGUGAGGUUUGUGGGACGGCGGAAUCAUCGUGUUCGCGGCGCAACUUCUCACACAUCGCAUCAAUCAAUGGAUUUAUUGGGAGAACACUUUGGUGAGUAGAUAAUUUCACGUUUUUGGCUGGUGUAAUAUCACACCGUUCGACUUUUCCUGUGGGGAUAUGCAAAGUCUACGGUCUAUGCGAGCAAUCUCGCUUCGAAUCAGGCCUUGCAGCAAAACAUCACGCGUCUCAUUUGUCAGCUACAAGUCAAAAUGCUCGAACCAGCCACCGAAAACGGGUCUCAGCUGAUAGAUCAGCUAAGACGCACCCGCGGCUAACAUUUGAGAGAGUAGCGAACCUCGAAAUGGUACACUUUUCGGUAAUGAUCGUUUAAAUGUAAAGAUACAUCUGUAUAUCGAGUUUGGUUAAAACAUCUCAAAAACGGAAGGACUAAUUUGUUUACAAAGAGGCGAACAUAGCUAAAUAACCCCAGCUAGUUAUUCUCAGCCGAGUGAUUGCACACAACGCGACAAAACACUUAAUGCCAAAAAUGAAUCCACAAAGAUAACAAACUUCUUCACCUGGUACUUUCUCAACGCUUGCUAAGCUAACGUGCGUGAGAAGGCCAUAGGGGCCUAAAUGCAUUUCCACUCUUGUAGCAUAUCAGCUUUACGGAACUUUUGGAAAAGUAUUUAUUUUACUAUCUUUUUAUAUUUAAUGAUUUCCAUUUGCAAUAAACAAAAUUUUUUUCUUAUUCUCGUUGCACAUUUCACUUUCCAGUUAAGAAAAUGUAAAGGACAAUAGGACCACUCUCCAUUAUAUGAUUUAUAAUAUGAUUUCAAUCGAACGGCAAGCAUUAAUUUAGUUCGAUAGAACUUUUAUUAGAUGUCUUAACAGCCCGAUUCUUAAUACUCGAGGGGAAUUUUUUUCCAUCGGAAAAUGUUUCUCGAGAAAUAAAAAAUGGCAGUUUUAAUUCCGUAGAAGAAGCUGAUUUUCGAAUUUCAACAAACCGUAGUUUGUCAGUUUAUUACACUCAAAAUAAGUUGCAAAUUAAAUAAAACAAUAACAAUUUCAAUAAAAUUCAUUUAAAACGUGAAAUUGAUUAAAAAAAAACCGCAUAGUAUGGUUUAAUAUUAGCGGCAGAAAAGGCGCCUCUUUACCUCAAGGGCGCAAAACCUCUGGAGGUCAGUCAAACCUUGCAAGCACAAAUUAUUACACUUUACUUUUAAAACACCGCUUUUAUGUAUUUACAGAUUUUAGAAAUACUACGAGGGGUUACAUAGGUCUCGAAGGCCACAAAAAGCUUAUCUUCUCAAUAUUUUUUUUAAAAGAUACUUAAUCAAGUAUACAAUUCAUUUUGUUUACAUAAAAAAGUACAAUAUUUGAUGAUUUGAUGAAAAUUUGAAUGAAAAAGAGUAUAAAUUAUGGCGUUGGCAUUGUCAUGAAGUAGAUCGUCCAUAAAGUGCUUUCACGGUAGUCAUGUUAACUUUUUCAAUUUUUAUCUGAAAUCCAAAAUCAUAUUUUUUUCUUAAAAUAGUUGAA
Molecule: long non-coding RNA, 2969 nt
Filed under: Ceratitis capitata (Mediterranean fruit fly)
Lineage: Eukaryota; Metazoa; Arthropoda; Insecta; Diptera; Tephritidae
Description: uncharacterized LOC110117991
Source: RNAcentral